RNAcentral lists this ribosomal RNA (254 nucleotides) under uncultured bacterium. RNAcentral's name for it is "partial 16S ribosomal RNA". It matches the Rfam family "Bacterial small subunit ribosomal RNA", at positions 526 to 779 of the family's 1533-position model. The record is from RNAcentral.
CGUAGGGGCAAGCGUUAUCCGGAUUUACUGGGGUGUAAAGGGAGCGUAGACGGCAAGGCAAGUCUGAUGUGAAAACCCAGGGCUUAACCCUGGGACUGCAUUGGAAACUGUCUGGCUCGAGUGCCGGAGAGGUAAGCGGAAUUCCUAGUGUAGCGGUGAAAUGCGUAGAUAUUAGGAAGAACACCAGUGGCGAAGGCGGCUUACUGGACGGUAACUGACGUUGAGGCUCGAAAGCGUGGGGAGCAAACAGGAUU